CCAGACUCCUACGGGAGGCAGCAGUCGGGAAUAUUGCGCAAUGGAGGAAACUCUGACGCAGUGACGCCGCGUAUAGGAAGAAGGUUUUCGGAUUGUAAACUAUUGUCGUUAGGGAAGAGAAAGGACAGUACCUAAGGAGGAAGCUCCGGCUAACUACGUGCCAGCAGCCGCGGUAAUACGUAGGGAGCGAGCGUUGUCCGGAAUUACUGGGUGUAAAGGGAGCGUAGGCGGGAUUGCAAGUUGGAUGUGAAAACUGCGGGCUCAACCCGGAGCGUGCAUUCAAAACUGCGAUUCUUGAGUGAAGUAGAGGCAAGCGGAAUUCCUAGUGUAGCGGUGAAAUGCGUAGAUAUUAGGAGGAACGCCAGUGGCGAAGGCGGCCUGCUGGACGGUGACUGACGCUGAGGCUCGAAAGCGUGGGGAGCAAGCAGGAUUAGAUACCCCAGUAC
Molecule: ribosomal RNA, 446 nt
Filed under: uncultured bacterium
Lineage: Bacteria
Description: bacterial SSU rRNA
Rfam family: Bacterial small subunit ribosomal RNA
Source: RNAcentral